RNAcentral lists this ribosomal RNA (132 nucleotides) under Euphaea formosa. RNAcentral's name for it is "partial 12S ribosomal RNA". Lineage: Eukaryota; Metazoa; Arthropoda; Insecta; Odonata; Euphaeidae. The record is from RNAcentral.
UACGUUAGGGGAGAAAGACUAUUUUUGGCUAGCAGUUAAUUUUAUUUUUUAUUUUUGUUUUAAUUUUUAGGUGAAAUUUAUAAUUAAUUUUAUUUUAUUCUUUUUGUUCUGUGAAACUUGGAGUUAAGACAA